GUCUUUAUGAAAUAUUUAUAAAGUCUGGCCUGCCCACUGAAUUUUAAAGGGCCGCGGUAUUUUGACCGUGCAAAGGUAGCAUAAUCAUUAGUCUCUUAAUUGGAGGCUUGUAUGAAUGGUUGCACAAGAAAUAAACUGUCUUAAUUUAAUUUAUUGAAUUUAACUUUUAAGUAAAAAGGCUUAAAUAAAUUAAAGUGACGAUAAGACCCUAUAAAACUUUAUAAAUUAAACUAAAAAAAAAUAUUAGUUAAUUGAAAUUUUUUAUUGUUAAAUUUAUUUUAUUGGGGCGAUACAAAUAUAUUAAGUAACUGUUUUUUAUAUUUAAAUGAUAAAUAAUCAUAAUUAAUUAAAUGAUCCUCUAUUAGAGAUUGAAAGAUUAAGUUACUUUAGGGAUAACAGCGUAAUUUUCUUUGAGAGUUCAUAUCUACAAGAAAGAUUACGACCUCGAUGUUGAAUUAAAAAAUCUUUAAGGUGUAGCAGCUUUAACAGAAGGUCUGUUCGACCUUUAAAAUUUU
Molecule: ribosomal RNA, 515 nt
Filed under: Euphausia americana
Lineage: Eukaryota; Metazoa; Arthropoda; Malacostraca; Euphausiacea; Euphausiidae
Description: partial 16S ribosomal RNA
Rfam family: Bacterial large subunit ribosomal RNA
Source: RNAcentral